RNAcentral lists this ribosomal RNA (647 nucleotides) under uncultured bacterium. RNAcentral describes it as "bacterial SSU rRNA". It matches the Rfam family "Bacterial small subunit ribosomal RNA", at positions 78 to 721 of the family's 1533-position model. The record is from RNAcentral.
GCUUGCUUCUCUUGAGAGCGGCGGACGGGUGAGUAAUGCCUAGGAAUCUGCCUGGUAGUGGGGGAUAACGUUCGGAAACGGACGCUAAUACCGCAUACGUCCUACGGGAGAAAGCAGGGGACCUUCGGGCCUUGCGCUAUCAGAUGAGCCUAGGUCGGAUUAGCUAGUUGGUGGGGUAAUGGCUCACCAAGGCGACGAUCCGUAACUGGUCUGAGAGGAUGAUCAGUCACACUGGAACUGAGGCACGGUCCAGACUCCUACGGGAGGCAGCAGUGGGGAAUAUUGGACAAUGGGCGAAAGCCUGAUCCAGCCAUGCCGCGUGUGUGAAGAAGGUCUUCGGAUUGUAAAGCACUUUAAGUUGGGAGGAAGGGUUGUAGAUUAAUACUCUGCAAUUUUGACGUUACCGACAGAAUAAGCACCGGCUAACUCUGUGCCAGCAGCCGCGGUAAUACAGAGGGUGCAAGCGUUAAUCGGAAUUACUGGGCGUAAAGCGCGCGUAGGUGGUUUGUUAAGUUGGAUGUGAAAUCCCCGGGCUCAACCUGGGAACUGCAUUCAAAACUGACUGACUAGAGUAUGGUAGAGGGUGGUGGAAUUUCCUGUGUAGCGGUGAAAUGCGUAGAUAUAGGAAGGAACACCAGUGGCGAAGG